This is an RNA transcript of Gadus chalcogrammus (walleye pollock), 3787 nucleotides long. RefSeq lists it as uncharacterized. The transcript has 4 exons. Lineage: Eukaryota; Metazoa; Chordata; Actinopteri; Gadiformes; Gadidae. The record is from RefSeq and is a predicted model, not a curated record.
UAGACAGACAAAGUCAUUUGUUGAUAUCUGAAAAUUCCCCUACAUUGUCAAUGUUCCGCCCCAAUCCCAAUGGCUAAAAACAGGGAUAACAAUAAUGAACAAUGGACCCAUUUUGGUAAGCAUGGCACACUGGUUUGGGCCAGACGUUUCAACAUUGUAACACCCACCUCAAAAGCUCUGGGAGCUGAAUGAUCUGAGAAUCACUCAUGAAACUAGUGAAAAAGGGAUAAUUUACAGACUUUAGAAGAAUGGAAGAUGUGCAUGGCCUGCAGGAAAGCUCACUUCUAAUUACAUUUGUUGCCAAGGACGAGGACUGUCCUAUUUAUAAAACUAAUCCUUGUGUUUUCAGGGGAUGUAGCUAUUGGAGAUGGGGUGGCAAGGCACUUCCUGAGCCUGGUCAUCCACAAGCUCAAGCAUGGCUUUGCUAUCGAUGUUGGUAAGUUCUAGGUUCUCUAGAAGAGUUUGCAUUUGUUGGUAUCUUGCGAGGAUUUCAUGGUUCAGUAAUUAUUGGUUUUAAUGUGUAAUGCAUUAAUUCAUUUGAAAUGUAAUAUCUUCCCCCAUAUUCUCUUCAUGCAAAAGAGAACUUGCUUUUCUGGAUUGACCCAAUGAUAUAUAAAAGUAUCAGUAAACAUUGGCCUUCUGUAUGUUUUUUUUUCUUUAGGAAACUCAUGUGGUGCCAUGCUUUUUGAGGGCCAGUCGGAUCACCUUGUCCCCUCUUCUUCAAAGAUAUUUAUGCAAAAUGACAUGUUCAUAAUGGCUGGGCGGAUGAUAGGGCAUGCCUUUCUUCAUAGUGGCCCGCGCCUGACAGGCCUUAGCCCGGCCGUGCUACAUGUUUUGGCUGGUGGCACCCCACAAACGGCCACCAUUACCCUUGAAGACAUUAAUGACAUUGAUGUUCGAGAAACCAUUGGACCACUUUAUGAAGUCUGUGAGAGCAACAAUGGGAACCUCACAACUCUAUCUGUGGAGCAAAGGGAUGCCAUAAAUAAACUCGCUGUGGAAAUGGACUACUCAAUUUUGAAAGAGACCAACCGCUGUUGGCUGCUGCAUAAUCUCCUUCAGGAUGCAGUAAGUCCACAUUUACAGCAAUGUUGUACAGCACUGUUGUUCAAUGUAUGAAACCUAAUUUAGACUUGUGUAUACAUCUUCGGACACUGGUCUUUGAUACGUUUACAGUUGUCUGGAGUAUAACACUAUGUAUACCACUAUGUAUCUUAAGUAUCUGCACCAGCAUAAUCAUGGUAUCCAAAUAGUCUAUCCACCAAGCAAACUGAUAUUUAAAUCCAAAAGAUUUUGUAAUGUAGAGCUGUUCAAAGUUCACCCCCAUAUCCUCAAGCAGGUGUUGCGAAACGUGAAUGCACAUGCACAGUCGUUCCUUAUGGAAAGGCCAUUAUGGACAGCGAUUCUAGGUUCAUCACAGAUGGGCCGUACGGUGAAAAUUAGAAAAUUUGCAUCAUCCGGAUAGUCCUUAUCUGAGUGGAUUACUUUUAAGGUUUUUGGACGGAUUAAAGAACAGCUGAAGCAGAUCAAGCAAGGUCUGAAAGAGACCUAUGUUCUGGACUUGUUGGAGGCAAGACCUGAUGCCAUCACACAAGUGUUCCCAUCCGAGGCCGAGGCUACCUGCAGUCCCGAGGUUGUUCUAGACUUUUUUCAGUGGCCUCAGGAAGAUGAUGGCCAGGAACCCAAAAAAAUCAAAGAGUUCCUAAUGCAAUUCAUCAGCACAGGUAUGAUUACAGCAUGUUGAUGUCGAUGUUCUAACCACAUUAUAAAGUUAAUGAAAUGCCACACCAGGAGCCAAAUCUGUAGAGUACUGUUAGUGGUAUGUGUCAUUAGCAUACUGUCUCCUGCAACGCUGUCCAGUGUCCUGCAAGACAGUAGGUGAGUUGCGUAACUGCACCAAAGAAAGAUGACUGAGAGGCGCCACAUUUUUCACCCCUACUGUUUAGACGAUAUGUACAAGUCAGACCCCAUUGAAGAAAUUAUGACUGGACUGAUGCAAUGAGUUAUAAAGGAAUUUGUGUUUUAUUCUUCUGUUUUUAAUAUGCAGUCUCCCAGGACAAGCUGUUUAAGCUUGUCAAGUUCUGGGUGGGCUGGGAGUUCCCAAUGACCGAAAUGAAGGUGGAGGUGGUGGAUAGCAACAAUUAUCCAAGGGCAUCCACGUGCUUCCGCACACUCCAUCUGCCAUCACACUACCAGACCUACGAUGACUUCAGGCAAAGUCUAGAAAUGUGCCUUGGCACCAGUGAGUUUGGAUUCGGCUUAAUUGAACGUCAGAAAUACUCAUUCAAGUGCUGUUGCACACAUGUUAAAAUGACUCACAUUUGCUGCGUUGAUUGUUUACUGUUAUAGUCAUUGUUAUAUUGCCAAAUACUACUGAUUCCUGCGCUGUUGUGCACCUUUUUCUGUAUUCCACCAAAUAUCCCUUUUUCUAAUGUGAAGUUUGUUUUAUUUUGCAUGGGUCAUGCGCCCUCAGUGCCUGAGAGGCCAAAAAAGGCUCAGAGCCUUUUUAGAACAUUAAUAAAUGUAAAUUCCCAUUGUCUCCUUCGCACAUUCUUACUGAGUCCAGGCCGGUUACAUACAGUAGUAGUGUAUAUAUAGCCAAGUUAUUUAUUUAUUGAUGCUUUAUAGUUUAUUUGAUGCUACUGCCGAAUGGUUAUUUUAAUUUGUAUAUAUAUUGUCCUAGAAACUGAUAACAAUAUCGAGUGUUGAAUAAUCUCAAUUACUUGUGGUGGUUGUAGGCUGUAUGUGUGCGACAGUGAGUGUGGUGGUGUUUAAAGGACGGGUGUGGAAGAGGCUAGGAGGUAAUCACAGUAUACGCACUACAAAAAACUAGACUUCACCACUGCAUUCUUGUCACACCAUUCCACAAACCUAUCAACAUUACUUUGGUCGAUUUUUAACAUUUGGACCGUCAAAAUUUUUUUCCAUUCAAAUGAACAAGCAUCAACGGACGGAACUAAUGUAGGACACCUCGAAGGGAAUUAUCCCGCUUAUACCAUGGUCACUUGCCAAAGAAAAUAAAUUAAGACCAUUCAUUUAUAUUUUCAUGCGUUUUAAUCCAAAUAUAAGUUUGUGUGUGUGAUUCUCAGAUCAUUCAGCUCUGGGAGCUGAAUGAGAAGAAUGAGAAUCACUCCUGAAAUGAGGGUACAUACAUAAUCUUAUAUAUACCCUAAGCUUUGCAUGUACUGCACUGCAGCCAUGUAUAUGUCCACCCCCAUGCAUGUGGACGGUGCCAGUGGGUCCACUGCUGCAUGAAGUCCCGCAAGUUCCUCAGGCCUGAGAGGGUAGUCACUCUCGGGCACAUGGACACCACAGUUGGGAUCCGGAAUGAGGCCACUGUCCUCCCAGUCGAUGUGAGGAAUGUGUAAAUCCUACAGGAAAAGUUGUACAUCAGCUAAAGUGAACCGAAACAAACUUGCUAGGGUUUAGAUUUAGCUCAGCUAGCAAGUAUGGUCGACACACCUUGAAAGCCGCCUGCAUGCGCCCAGAAUAUUAUAUUCAUUAUUAUAUGUUAGCCAUGCUAAUUAUUAAUGCAAUUAUUAUAAUAACUGCAAGAUAAUGUUGACAAAGAGCAUUUGACAGAUAUGUACCUCAUCAACUUGGUCUUUGGAGGAGUGGUAUUGGCCUAAGAACCACAGUUGAUUGGGAGUGCGAUUUCCCUCUGUUGACAGAGGGUGAUUGUCCCAGCCAUCCCUGAAUUCAUCCAGUCUGGCUUGCAAACGUGGAAUGAAGACAUAGUGACAACACAAGUGGUUGAGAUUGCUAGACAGAUCCAGCAGGCCAUCCU